UACAGAGGUGGCAAGCGAUGUUCGGAAUCACUGGGCUUAAAGCGUGUGUAGGCAGAUCAGUAAGUGUCUUGUGAAAUCCCUCGUCUCAACCGAGGAACUGCUGGGCAAACUACUGAUCUUGAGGUAGGCAGGGGUGCUUGGAACUCUUGGUGGAGCGGUGAAAUGCGUAGAUAUCAAGAGGAACGCCUGUGGAGAAAUCGGAGCACUGGGCCUAUUCUGACGCUGAGAAACGAAAGCGUGGGGAGUGAACGGG
RNAcentral lists this ribosomal RNA (253 nucleotides) under uncultured bacterium. RNAcentral describes it as "partial 16S ribosomal RNA". It matches the Rfam family "Bacterial small subunit ribosomal RNA", at positions 524 to 776 of the family's 1533-position model. The record is from RNAcentral.